AAAACGACUCUCGGCAACGGAUAUCUAGGCUCUCGCAUCGAUGAAGAACGUAGCGAAAUGCGAUACUUGGUGUGAAUUGCAGAAUCCCACGAAUCAUCGAGUUUUGAACGCAAGUUGCGCCCGAAGCCAUUCGGCUGAGGGCACGUCUGCCUAGGUGUCACGC
This 163-nucleotide ribosomal RNA is filed under the name Quercus ilex. Its description in RNAcentral is "5.8S ribosomal RNA". It matches the Rfam family "5.8S ribosomal RNA". Rfam says of the family: 5.8S ribosomal RNA (5.8S rRNA) is a component of the large subunit of the eukaryotic ribosome. The record is from RNAcentral. Lineage: Eukaryota; Viridiplantae; Streptophyta; Magnoliopsida; Fagales; Fagaceae.